UCCUACGGGUGGCUGCAGUAAGGAAUAUUGGACAAUGCCCGCAAGGGUGAUCCAGCCAUGCCGCGUGCAGGAAGACGGCCCUAUGGGUUGUAAACUGCUUUUAUACCGGAGAAAACCUCUGUUCGUGAACAGAGCUGAUAGUAUGGUAGGAAUAAGCAUCGGCUAACUUCGUGCCAGCAGCCGCGGUAAGACGAAGGAUGCAAGCGUUAUCCGGAUUCAUUGGGUUUAAAGGGAGCGUAGGUGGCCUUAUAAGUCAGUGGUGAAAUCUCUGGGCUUAACCCAGAAAUUGCCAUUGAUACUGUAGGGCUUGAGUAUAGUUGCCGUUGGCGGAAUAUGACAUGUAGUGGUGAAAUACAUAGAGAUGUCAUAGAACACCGAUUGCGAAGGCAGCUGACGAAACUAUAACUGACACUGAGGCUCGAAAGUGCGGGGAUCAAACAGGAUUAGAUACCCGGGUAGUCCGG
This 464-nucleotide ribosomal RNA is filed under the name uncultured Sphingobacteriales bacterium. RNAcentral's name for it is "bacterial SSU rRNA". It matches the Rfam family "Bacterial small subunit ribosomal RNA", at positions 337 to 798 of the family's 1533-position model. Lineage: Bacteria; Pseudomonadati; Bacteroidota; Sphingobacteriia; Sphingobacteriales. The record is from RNAcentral.